This 114-nucleotide transfer RNA is filed under the name Promethearchaeota archaeon. RNAcentral describes it as "Candidatus Lokiarchaeota archaeon (microbial mat metagenome) tRNA-Ser". The record is from RNAcentral. Lineage: Archaea; Promethearchaeati; Promethearchaeota.
GCCCGGGUAGCCAAGCGGUUACGGCGGCAGCCUGGAAAGCUGCUCUCCAUUUGGAGGCAAGAGUUCGAAGACUUCGACGCAUGUCAGGUCGAACAUAUCCCUUCCCGGGCGCCA